AUUGAACGCUGGCGGCAUGCUUUACACAUGCAAGUCGAACGGCAGCGCGGGCUUCGGCCUGGCGGCGAGUGGCGAACGGGUGAGUAAUGCAUCGGAACGUGCCCAGUAGUGGGGGAUAGCCCGGCGAAAGCCGGAUUAAUACCGCAUACGACCUGAGGGUGAAAGCGGGGGACCGAAAGGCCUCGCGCUAUUGGAGCGGCCGAUGUCGGAUUAGCUAGUUGGUGGGGUAAAGGCUUACCAAGGCGACGAUCCGUAGCUGGUCUGAGAGGACGACCAGCCACACUGGGACUGGGACACGGCCCAGACUCCUACGGGAGGCAGCAGUGGGAAAUUUUGGACAAUGGGGGCAACCCUGAUCCAGCCAUGCCGCGUGCGGGAAGAAGGCCUUCGGGUGGUAAACCGCUUUUGUUCGGGAAGAAAUCCUCUGGGCUAAUACCCCGGGGGAUGACGGUACCGGAAGAAUAAGCACCGGCUAACUACGUG
This 483-nucleotide ribosomal RNA is filed under the name uncultured bacterium. RNAcentral's name for it is "partial 16S ribosomal RNA". It matches the Rfam family "Bacterial small subunit ribosomal RNA", at positions 28 to 507 of the family's 1533-position model. The record is from RNAcentral.